UUAAACCUCUUCCAGAGUAUCAAUUGGAGGGCAAGUCUGGUGCCAGCAGCCGCGGUAAUUCCAGCUCCAAUAGCGUAUAUUAAAAUUGUUGCAGUUAAAAAGCUCGUAGUUGAAUUUCUGCUGCAUCGUCGCAUCUCUUGCUGAGUGCUUCAUUGCGGCUUAUUUCGGAUUGAUUUUUUCUUUCCGGAUGAUUACUUUGAGAAAAUUAGAGUGCUCAAAGCAGGCUUUUGCCUUGAAUAGUUUAGCAUGGAAUAAUAAAGUAGGACUUUGGUUCUAUUUUGUUGGUUUUAGGUACCAAAGUAAUGGUUAAUAGGAACAGUUGGGGGCAUUCGUAU
This 335-nucleotide ribosomal RNA is filed under the name uncultured Theileria sp. RNAcentral describes it as "SSU rRNA". It matches the Rfam family "Eukaryotic small subunit ribosomal RNA", at positions 525 to 897 of the family's 1831-position model. The record is from RNAcentral. Lineage: Eukaryota; Apicomplexa; Aconoidasida; Piroplasmida; Theileriidae.